This 305-nucleotide ribosomal RNA is filed under the name uncultured bacterium. Its description in RNAcentral is "partial 16S ribosomal RNA". It matches the Rfam family "Bacterial small subunit ribosomal RNA", at positions 508 to 809 of the family's 1533-position model. The record is from RNAcentral.
ACAGCAGUAGCCGCGGGAACACGGAGGGAGCUAGCGUUGUUCGGAAUUACUGGGCGUAAGGCGCGCGUAAGCGGUUACUCAAGUCAGAGGUGAAAGCCCGGGGCUCAACUCCGGGACUGCCUUUGAAACUAGGUGACUAGAAUCUUGGAGAGGUCAGUGGAAUUCCGAGUGUAGAGGUGAAAUUCGUAGAUAUUCGGAAGAACACCAGUGGCGAAGGCGACUGACUGGACAAGUAUUGACGCUGAGGUGCGAAAGCGUGGGGAGCAAACAGGAUUAGAUACCCCCGUAGUCCCUGUCUCUUAUAA